This 137-nucleotide small nucleolar RNA is filed under the name Homo sapiens (human). RNAcentral describes it as "small nucleolar RNA, H/ACA box 4 (SNORA4)". It matches the Rfam family "Small nucleolar RNA SNORA4". From Rfam's summary of the family: ACA4 is a member of the H/ACA class of snoRNA that guide the sites of modification of uridines to pseudouridines. Lineage: Eukaryota; Metazoa; Chordata; Mammalia; Primates; Hominidae. The record is from Rfam by way of RNAcentral.
UACCAAAAGUUAGCUUUUUGGGGGGCAGGUUUUUAAGUAACCUUUGCCAACUUGGGCUAUUUGGAAGAGUAAAAGACCACACUCCACAGUGGGCUAUACCACUUAGUAUAGUUCGCUACUAUUUUGUGGCCUACAUG